AUUCAGCUGACGAGUCCCAAAUAGGAUGAAACGCGUGUCCUGGAU
Molecule: non-coding RNA, 45 nt
Filed under: Schistosoma mansoni
Lineage: Eukaryota; Metazoa; Platyhelminthes; Trematoda; Strigeidida; Schistosomatidae
Source: RNAcentral